This 229-nucleotide ribosomal RNA is filed under the name uncultured bacterium. Its description in RNAcentral is "partial 16S ribosomal RNA". It matches the Rfam family "Bacterial small subunit ribosomal RNA", at positions 568 to 796 of the family's 1533-position model. The record is from RNAcentral.
UCCGUAGGCGGAUUGAUAAGUCAGAGGUGAAAUCCCACAGCUUAACUGUGGAACUGCCUUUGAAACUGUUAGUCUUGAGUUAUAUGGAAGUAGAUAGAAUGUGUAGUGUAGCGGUGAAAUGCAUAGAGAUUACACAGAAUACCGAUUGCGAAGGCAGUCUACUACGUAUAUACUGACGCUAAUGGACGAAAGCGUGGGGAGCGAACAGGAUUAGGUACCCUGGUAGUCC